GUGGAUAAACCCUCCCUCUCCGCACCGCGCCCCCUCCCUGCGGAACAGAAGAGGCACAGAGAACGGAUACAGGGGAAGGGACACUCUCCCGCGCCCCCCUCCCUCCCAGACGCCAUACACGCGGAGUGGCGUACGCCACGAAGGCAUUGUCUACACAUCAGCUCACGCACACGAACACGCAUCCAUCCAUAGAAUACAAACAAGCGCACGCACCGGCAUACGCACCCGAAGCGUCUGAACCUCGAGAUGAUCCACCUCUCUCUGUAUCACGAGCACUACGGAGUGCGCUACGCCCCGCGCGGGCUGGCGUCGUGGCUCUUCUACGUGCUGUGUCUGCUCGUCAUCCUCGUUGCUCCCUUUUUCAUCGCUCUAUUCAUGCAGAACUUUUGGUUGAAGGCAAACUACUUCUACGACAUGCCAGAGGUGACCUUCACGGGGCAGUGUGCGGUGCGUGUCAGCACCGUGCUAGGCAGGGAGUACCUCUGGACCUGCUCCGACUUGUUCCACGGCGCACUGCAGGGGACGUCGCUGCGCAUUCUGCCGUAUUUUUCCACCUACGAGGACGACAGGGACGGCGACGGAAAGAUCGACUACGCGAACUUCUUGAUGAGCUUCCCCCUCGGCGACGCACUCGAGGCAUUCUCCCUCUAUGAGCCGACCAGCGCCGCCACUGGUGGUGGCGCCGACGCGCCGACCUCGCAGCGUGACGCGAUCCUCGAGGCCAGCUUUCUGCCCGAGUUCGUGUACUACAUCAAUCAUCAUCUUGUGAAGGUAAACAUGACGGCCGCGCCGCUGCUGCGCUAUCGGCGAACCCCCAUGCAAAAAGGAUUCGGCAACGUCACAGCGGCCACCUCAUCGACGUACAGCUGGAGCGGGGCGCCCGUGUGCGCGCUGACUAAGGCGGACAUGCUCUUCUACACGACCCACAGUCUCAUCAACUCCCCCUACGUGUCCUACAUGCAUACAUACACGUCGAGCCCUCUGCAAGAGCUCGCGCACCAGCCGGCAGACUUGUUAGACCUACCUCGCUUUUCCGGCAACUACGCUGCUCGCAAUCAAUCCGUUGUGCUGCGCGCCUACGUCGAGGCAGCGGGCGGGCUUGAUGUGCUGCGCAGAGAUGUGAGCAUCGUGCGUGGGCUUUGGGAGGAUCUAGAUGACCUGAACACCUUCACGUGGUACGUACAGCUGCGCAUCCUGCCGGCGGAGGUGCAAUAUAUGCCAUCCUACGCCGAGGUGCUCAAGUGGGGCUGGAUCCAGUAUUUUGCUAUCGCCUACAUUGUCCAGUGGCUCCUGUGGAAGUUGCGCAUGGUGCUGGUGACGAUGGGGUUGAUCAACUCACGGGCUCGCUUCAGCGCCAUGCGGCGACAGUACUAAAGCGCGUGUGCGUGCCAGUAGGCGAUUUUCUUGUCAUUUGGGCACGCUCCCUCACUCUCGCUUCUUCUCUCUGUUGCUCGCUGCGUCCGGAGCGGGGCUGCGUGGCGUGCAGCCGCCGCAGGGCAGCAACACGGCGGCAAGACGCACACAUGAACACGCACACGCACGCACUCGAACGGGCGGAGGCUCUUUUUGCUGUUGUCGUCCGCCCAGACCUUUUAGGAGGAGUGGCUGCUCGCGCGCAUGCGCAUCGACAUAGAGGAGAGGGCUGCAUGUACCAGGUAAAAG
RNAcentral lists this unclassified non-coding RNA (1662 nucleotides) under Leishmania donovani. RNAcentral describes it as "gene:LdHU3.20.0630(CDS-product:Transmembrane_prot ein_231_putative)". The record is from RNAcentral. Lineage: Eukaryota; Euglenozoa; Kinetoplastea; Trypanosomatida; Trypanosomatidae.